GAUGAACGCUGGCGGCGUGCCUAAUACAUGCAAGUCGAGCGAACAGACGAGGAGCUUGCUCCUCUGACGUUAGCGGCGGACGGGUGAGUAACACGUGGAUAACCUACCUAUAAGACUGGGAUAACUUCGGGAAACCGGAGCUAAUACCGGAUAAUAUAUUGAACCGCAUGGUUCAAUAGUGAAAGACGGUUUUGCUGUCACUUAUAGAUGGAUCCGCGCCGCAUUAGCUAGUUGGUAAGGUAACGGCUUACCAAGGCAACGAUGCGUAGCCGACCUGAGAGGGUGAUCGGCCACACUGGAACUGAGACACGGUCCAUACUCCUACGGGAGGCAGCAGUAGGGAAUCUUCCGCAGUGGGCGAAAGCCUGACGGAGCAACGCCGCGUGAGUUAUGAAGGUCUUCGGAUCGUAAAACUCUGUUAUUAGGGAAGAACAAAUGUGUAAGUAACUAUGCACGUCUUGACGGUACCUAAUCAGAAAGCCACGGCUAACUACGUG
Molecule: ribosomal RNA, 497 nt
Filed under: uncultured bacterium
Lineage: Bacteria
Description: partial 16S ribosomal RNA
Rfam family: Bacterial small subunit ribosomal RNA
Source: RNAcentral